GGAUUAGAUACCCUGGUAGUCCACGCCGUAAACGAUGAGAGCUAGUUGUCUGGCAGCAUGCUGUCAGGUGACGCAGCUAACGCAUUAAGCUCUCCGCCUGGGGAGUACGGCCGCAAGGUUAAAACUCAAAGAAAUUGACGGGGGCCCGCACAAGCGGUGGAGCAUGUGGUUUAAUUCGAAGCAACGCGAAGAACCUUACCUGCGCUUGACAUCCUGAUCGCGGAUUAGAGAGAUCUUUUCCUUCAGUUCGGCUGGAUCAGUGACAGGUGCUGCAUGGCUGUCGUCAGCUCGUGCCG
Molecule: ribosomal RNA, 296 nt
Filed under: uncultured bacterium
Lineage: Bacteria
Description: partial 16S ribosomal RNA
Rfam family: Bacterial small subunit ribosomal RNA
Source: RNAcentral